AGAGUUUGAUCCUGGCUCAGGACGAACGCUGGCGGCGUGCUUAACACAUGCAAGUCGAACGGAAAGGCCUCUUCGGAGGUACUCGAGUGGCGAACGGGUGAGUAACACGUGGGCAAUCUGCCCUGCACUUCGGGAUAAGCCUGGGAAACUGGGUCUAAUACCGGAUAGGACCUCAAGACGCAUGUCUUCUGGUGGAAAGCUUUUGCGGUGUGGGAUGGGCCCGCGGCCUAUCAGCUUGUUGGUGGGGUGACGGCCUACCAAGGCGACGACGGGUAGCCGGCCUGAGAGGGUGUCCGGCCACACUG
This 305-nucleotide ribosomal RNA is filed under the name uncultured Mycobacterium sp. RNAcentral's name for it is "bacterial SSU rRNA". It matches the Rfam family "Bacterial small subunit ribosomal RNA", at positions 8 to 315 of the family's 1533-position model. The record is from RNAcentral. Lineage: Bacteria; Bacillati; Actinomycetota; Actinomycetes; Mycobacteriales; Mycobacteriaceae.